RNAcentral lists this non-coding RNA (449 nucleotides) under Pongo abelii (Sumatran orangutan). Lineage: Eukaryota; Metazoa; Chordata; Mammalia; Primates; Hominidae. The record is from RNAcentral.
CAGACUAGCCAGUGCUCCAGGAUGACUGUGGCUCUUUAUGAGUGAAGAGAAAGGGUAGAGACUGAAGACAGAGCUGGGGACAGUGACAGGCUUGGGGAAGAACAGUUGAUUCAGCAGUCCCAAGCAUCUGAACACAAGGUGGACAUUCUCCAGGGUGACAUGGCAAAAUACAUGGGUGAAGACAACCUAGUGGCCGUGACUUGGAGCACCCUUCCUCACAAGGAAGGCAUUCUGGGCCAGCCUGAAAAACAGCAUGGAAAUAAAUCACCUAAGUACAAGGGACCUCGGUGACAACGCUGUGAACAUCUAUGGAUUCCACAUUCAAGUACUUUGUCACAACUGUCUCCACAAGUUGGUACAUCCUCUGUACAAGGCAAAGAAAACUCUAAAAACACACAAAAAGUCAAUGUUAAUAAUAAGAGACAUUAUUAUUAAACAUCAACAAAGUG